UCGAGAAUUUUUCACAAUGGGGGAAACCCUGAUGGAGCGACGCCGCGUGGAGGACGAAGGUCUUCGGAUUGUAAACUCCUGUCAUGCGGGAACAAGAAAGUGAUAGUACCGCAAGAGGAAGAGACGGCUAACUCUGUGCCAGCAGCCGCGGUAAUACAGAGGUCUCAAGCGUUGUUCGGAUUCAUUGGGCGUAAAGGGUGCGCAGGCGGCGUGGAAAGUUGAGUGUGAAAUCCCGGGGCUCAACCCCGGAACUACACUCAAUACUCCCAUGCUAGAGGAAUGUAGAGGAGAGUGGAAUUCACGGUGUAGCAGUGAAAUGCGUAGAUAUCGUGAGGAAGACCAGUUGCGAAGGCGACUCUCUGGGCAUUUCCUGACGCUCAUGCACGAAGGCCAGGGGAGCAAACG
Molecule: ribosomal RNA, 405 nt
Filed under: uncultured prokaryote
Description: bacterial SSU rRNA
Rfam family: Bacterial small subunit ribosomal RNA
Source: RNAcentral